UUUUAUAAUUCUGGACAUCUCAGACUUAAGUCAAAUGGCAAACGUGUCCAAAUCUGCCACAGGUGGGCGGAAGGAAGGCUGUGAUGGUACAGCAUCUAUUGUUACUGUCAUUAGUAUUAGGUGAGUUGCAAAGGCCCCAGUGCCACAGUAUAGAGUCAAGUUAAGCAUAAUAAUCAGUACGUUAGGGGCUGGGGAUUUAGCUCAGUGGUAGAGCGCUUACCUAGGAAGCGCAAGGCCCUGGGGUCGGUCCCCAGCUCCGAAAAAAAGAUCCAAAAAAAAUAAUAAUAAUAAUCAGUAUGUUAGGCUACCAUGGGCAAGCUACAAGAGCUGUUUCAUAAGCCAUUCAGUACUAAGACUCUCUGGUCUCGGCGGUCAGAACAGACGCAGAGCUGUUAGAUGGUCAGAAAGAUAGCAUUUUUCUUAAGGAAGCCAGACUUCUGUGAACUGACACUUAAUCUUGCUGUGCUGAUGGACAGAUGGCUGGGCAGCUGAGUGGCAUCCAUUUCACUGACAACACCGGACUCGCACUUUCCUAUUUGAGCCUCUUUGACCAGAGACUGUUUCCUUCUUUACUGUGUCAGAAUUGAGCUGUUUGAAGCCAGAGUAGACUGUAACAUACCUCUAAUACAGCUUUUAGGGUCCGAAUAUUCAGUCUGGAUCCAUGUUAACACCACAGCACACAAGCUGUAUUUUUUCUGGUCUUAGUUGACAGUACCCAUGUAGAAAGGGCUAAACUUCCCUUUGCUGAAGAGAAGAAGGUUAUACAGAGACAUCAAUGCCCAAGUCCUCACCUUCACAAUCACAUCCUAGAGAACGAUAAGUCAGAACAGAAUUGCUCUGGCCAGGGUAUUUUUAUGUUGACAAAAUAUUGUUGCAAUAUUUGAAUCUCCAGAUUGGGAAUCUCCAGGCUGAAAUUGUUUGUGUCAGAAUUUUUAUUUUAAUGUUUCAAGAAUGAGGUAGUCUACAUUAAUCCAAACGAUCUUUACACAUAGACUCUGAAUUUUAAAAAAAAUGACACCUUGUUUUAGAAUAUUUUGAAUACUAAAAGAAAGGAUUGUCUGAGUCAGAUUAAGAUACCCAGAGGGUAGGAUGCUGACCUAACAUCUCGAGCAGGUUAUCCAAAUAGGUGAGGACCUGCUGGCUGCUUCUGGGUGAGCAGAGCCACUGCACAUCACAGCAAGAUCAAAGCAAGGUUUAUCUAGAGUUAGUUAAAGAGUUUCAGUCUGACAAAUUUUAAAGCAUAUUUUUCUAUUUUAAAAAUAUAAUUUCUAGGCUAUAUUUCUAUUGGCGCUUCUGCAAAUGAUUUUGGAUUCCACAGACAACAAUAACACUAGGUUUUGAGCAUGGUUCAGUGAGGCCGCUCAUCAGACACAUGCAGGUGCUGUAGACAGGACCGAGCUUAGCCUUUAGCCGGCUGCCCUUGGCCCUGUAUCUUACCACAGGAUUAGGUUUGUUAUUUUAAAUGGUACA
RNAcentral lists this long non-coding RNA (1470 nucleotides) under Rattus norvegicus (Norway rat). Its description in RNAcentral is "long non-coding RNA NONRATT016799". The record is from RNAcentral. Lineage: Eukaryota; Metazoa; Chordata; Mammalia; Rodentia; Muridae.